Long non-coding RNA from Xenopus laevis (African clawed frog), 1304 nucleotides. RefSeq lists it as uncharacterized. The record is from RefSeq and is a predicted model, not a curated record. NCBI's taxonomy places the organism in Eukaryota, Metazoa, Chordata, Amphibia, Anura, Pipidae. The transcript is spliced from 4 exons.
CUGUAUGCUGCCAAAAAAAAAAAAAAAAACAGUAGUGUUUGACAAAAUCCCAAAUUCUCCAUAAUUCUUUCUGGGCUCUAGUGUUUAUGCCAGUAGAGUGGAUUCCAAGACACCACCAGUAUCUAAUGCGUGUUACCAUUUUUGUUACAGUUUAAUGGGACCUCUACCCGAAAGCCUAUGUUUUUAUAAUGAAACAAAUAAUGCUGACACAAGCUGAUUGAUGAUAAUAAUAGGGUAUAUACUGACAAGAUGCUAUGGGGUGCACUAUUAAACACAGGGACAACAUAAAGGCACAGUCCAACCUGCUAUGGAGUACACUAUUAAACACAGGGACAACAUAAAGGCACAGUCCAACCAGCAGCUGCUGCUAGGGUUGUGGGUAUGGGAGCCACUGAAUUUAACAAAAUAGAUGAUGUGCAAUUUCUGUUGGGAUCAGCUGCCACCUUGGUUGUGUUUUAAAUCCCUGGCAGGUGAAAAUAGUCCAUACAAUAUACUGUACAUUAUAGAAGCAAACUUUCCUUCCCAGAAUUUCUACUGUUUUUCUAAACACAAUGUGGGAGACAGGUCAUCUUCAUCAACAUUUGAGGGGCCAUUGUUGCCAGGCUUGUGAUAAGAUGGGGAUGUAAAGAGGUAGCCAAUAAUGGUUAAACACAAAGUCCUGUCACUAUGCAGAAUUGUGGGGCAUAAUCUAUAUUCUAUCUGGCUUUUGUAUUUUUUAGGAAACUAUUGUUCUCUAUUUUGCAGAUUUUUUUGGAUUAGGAAUGAAAAAAAAAUUCUUUGAACAUUUUUAGUAUCUACAUGGAAAUGGAGUUGUUCAACGAGAUCUCAAACCAUAUGUCUCUAUGCAGACAUUACUCCUGACUCCCUUUUAAAAAUUGUGGACUUCGGACUGUCCAAAAUUAGUGAUGACCAGGUGGCCAUGAAGACCAUAUGUGGCACUCCAGGAUACUGUGAUUAUGUGGAUUUGAACCAUUUUUUGAUCCAAAGGGAUAUCAAUACAUAUACAGCAAAAUCCUAAAUUGUGACUUUGAUUUUUGUGUAUCCCUGUUGGGAUGAAAUCUCCCUAAAUGCUAAGGACUUGGUACUGACUGCGGGAUGGAGCUAAGACAGCAUAGAAGGACAGCAGGUCACCCAAAGAGAUUCAGGGACAAAUCAACAUCCCCAGCAGCGCUACAGAGGAUGUAGCAGAGUGCAGCAUGUUCCAAGCCCUGGUCUCAAGCCUGCUCGCCUGACCCUGCUACUUCCAGCGCCCCUAUGCAGCCAGCCAGGAUGUCGAGCCACCCACCAGCCCAAUCAUUCAACCU